This 253-nucleotide ribosomal RNA is filed under the name uncultured bacterium. Its description in RNAcentral is "partial 16S ribosomal RNA". It matches the Rfam family "Bacterial small subunit ribosomal RNA", at positions 524 to 776 of the family's 1533-position model. The record is from RNAcentral.
UACGGGGGGGGCAAGCGUUGUUCGGAAUUACUGGGCGUAAAGAGCUCGUAGGCGGCUUGUCACGUCGACUGUGAAAACCCGAGGCUCAACUUCGGGCCUGCAUUCGAUACGGGCAGACUAGAGUUCGGUAGGGGAGUCUGGAAUUCCUGGUGUAGCGGUGAAAUGCGCAGAUAUCAGGAGGAACACCGGUGGCGAAGGCGGCUCUCUGGGACGGUACUGACGCUGAGACGCGAAAGCGUGGGGAGCGAACAGG